Molecule: ribosomal RNA, 253 nt
Filed under: uncultured bacterium
Lineage: Bacteria
Description: partial 16S ribosomal RNA
Rfam family: Bacterial small subunit ribosomal RNA
Source: RNAcentral
UACGUAGGGUGCGAGCGUUAAUCGGAAUUACUGGGCGUAAAGCGUGCGCAGGCGGUUUUGUAAGUCAGAUGUGAAAUCCCCGGGCUUAACCUGGGAACUGCGUUUGAAACUACAAGGCUAGAGUGUGGCAGAGGGGGGUGGAAUUCCACGUGUAGCGGUGAAAUGCGUAGAGAUCUGGAGGAACACCGAUGGCGAAGGCAGCCUUCUGGGCCAACACUGACGCUCAUGCACGAAAGCGUGGGGAGCAAACAGG